Molecule: ribosomal RNA, 253 nt
Filed under: uncultured bacterium
Lineage: Bacteria
Description: partial 16S ribosomal RNA
Rfam family: Bacterial small subunit ribosomal RNA
Source: RNAcentral
UACGUAGGGGGCUAGCGUUGUCCGGAUUUAUUGGGCGUAAAGAGCGUGUAGGCGGCCAUGCAGGUCCGUUGUGAAAACUCGAGGCUCAACCUCGAGACGUCGAUGGAAACCGCAUGGCUAGAGUCCGGAAGAGGAGAGUGGAAUUCCUGGUGUAGCGGUGAAAUGCGCAGAUAUCAGGAAGAACACCCGUGGCGAAGGCGGCUCUCUGGGACGGUACUGACGCUGAGACGCGAAAGCGUGGGGAGCGAACAGG